UAGGGAAUCUUCCACAAUGGGCGAAAGCCUGAUGGAGCAACGCCGCGUGUGCGAUGAAGGCUUUCGGGUCGUAAAGCACUGUUGUAUGGGAAGAACAGCUAGAAUAGGAAAUGAUUUUAGUUUGACGGUACCAUACCAGAAAGGGACGGCUAAAUACGUACCAG
This 164-nucleotide ribosomal RNA is filed under the name uncultured bacterium. Its description in RNAcentral is "partial 16S ribosomal RNA". It matches the Rfam family "Bacterial small subunit ribosomal RNA", at positions 355 to 511 of the family's 1533-position model. The record is from RNAcentral.